This 428-nucleotide ribosomal RNA is filed under the name Verrucomicrobiota bacterium. Its description in RNAcentral is "Verrucomicrobia bacterium partial 16S ribosomal RNA". It matches the Rfam family "Bacterial small subunit ribosomal RNA", at positions 355 to 776 of the family's 1533-position model. Lineage: Bacteria; Pseudomonadati; Verrucomicrobiota. The record is from RNAcentral.
UAGGGAAUCUUCCGCAAUGGACGAAAGUCUGACGGAGCAACGCCGCGUGAGUGAAGAAGGAUUUCGGUUCGUAAAACUCUGUUGUUAGGGAAGAAAAAAUGUAUAGUAACUAUAUACAAAAGAGACGGAACCUAACCAGAAAGCCACGGCUAACUACGUGCCAGCAGCCGCGGUAAUACGUAGGUGGCAAGCGUUGUCCGGAAUUAUUGGGCGUAAAGCGCGCGCAGGUGGUUAGAAAAGUCUGAAGUGAAAGGCAGUGGCUCAACCAUUGUAGGCUUUGGAAACUGUUUAACUUGAGUGCAGAAGGGGAGAGUGGAAUUCCAUGUGUAGCGGUGAAAUGCGUAGAUAUAUGGAGGAACACCGGUGGCGAAAGCGGCUCUCUGGUCUGUAACUGACGCUGAGGCUCGAAAGCGUGGGGAGCGAACAGG